This is a long non-coding RNA of Cyprinus carpio carpio, 1480 nucleotides long. The record is from Ensembl. NCBI's taxonomy places the organism in Eukaryota, Metazoa, Chordata, Actinopteri, Cypriniformes, Cyprinidae.
CAGGUUUGAGUGAGCAAAUGAUGACCAUUUUAUUUAAUUUAUUUAUUUUUAUUCUAAUAAUUAAUUAUUUAUUUAUUAUUAUUUAUUUAUGUUUUAUUAUUAUUAUUAUUAUUUAUUUUGAGUUAACGUCCCUUUAAAAAAUAAGAUACAUGGAAAAUCAUUUUUCUGUCAUUUAUAAUCAGGCACGGAACACAGAAUGGUCUGUUGUGAACCUAGUAUACUUAAGAUGAAUAAGUGAACAUUUUUCUUUAACAUGUCCUUCCAUCUCUUUUCUCAGGCCUGCUUUCCCAGGGAAAGAUGAUGAAUUAAACACAGAAGAAUAAAAGAGCUACAGCUCGAAAAUCUCAACACAAACUGUUCCUACUGCGCUGUUACACGGCCUACUGUUCUACCACCUCAGAGACACAGCAAGAGAGAAAGAGGGCAAGAGAGGAGAGGAGGAAAGAGAUCCCGACAAGGACAUGCCGAUUCAGAUUCCACCCAAGAGAACAACGCUGAAAGAAAGAAUAGCGAACGAGAGAUUGGAUGACAGAGUUCCAGCAGAGAAAAUAAAUGAAGAAUUUAGGUAGAUUCAGGUGGAAGAUUAAGGAGGAAGAUAGUGUAAUGAGAUGGGGUGUAUCAGGAAGCUACAAACUUCAUUCCACAGAGUCAAGGAAACACAAACCAUUAGACAACACUGUCUUUCAGAAACCAGACAAUACCCUUUUCAUCAACGAACAACGUGUGUGUGCUGUGCGUGUGCACAUAUUUGCUGACAGUCACGCACGCCUCUGCAGAGUGCUGUAGUUUUGUCUCUCAUUUCUUUAACAAGCUGGAAAACACUUCAAGAGGAAUCAGACUCCAACACAUGCAAACCAGCUGCAACAGGUCAACACAAAUGAUCAGCAACAGGAUUUGAGCAUGUUGGAUCCUUUACCGAACAGAAUAAAGAUUUUCUGUUUAAAAAAUUAAGCCAUUCCAUUGAGUUGGAAAUUGGAUAAAUAUUUGCGCAAUUAAAUGCAAUUUGGCCAAGUAAGUGUAACUGAUAUGUGUGUAAUUAUCGUAAUCUGAGAAUGUUCCGAUAAUUAUGCAAUUCAUUUGAUGCCAGUUUUGGAAUAGGCAGAGAAUAUUCUGAACACUGCUCUUGCACCUCUAAUGAAAAUUAAUGCUGCUUUAUUCUCACGACUCACCACCAAUACUUGCCUCCAUGAGGUUUUAUUAAAUAAAUCAGUAGACAUGACAUUAAGAAGCAAUGCCCUCUAGUGUCUUGGAAAGGAACUUUCCUUAAAUUAAUAAAAAUGACAAUACAAAAAUUUUAAUUCUAUACUAUUUGCUCAGGUCUUCCCGAACUGUGAGCACAAAACAGUGUAAUUUUGAAAAAUUGUUGUCCUUUUUCACAAUCAGUUAUAUUGACUGGAGAAGCUUUGAGUUUGUCUUUUCUAGUGAGCUGCUAAAGUCAGCAUAGAUUGAAAAUUCACUAUUAUCUGUUUUCUAAAUGCAU